RNAcentral lists this ribosomal RNA (497 nucleotides) under uncultured bacterium. RNAcentral's name for it is "partial 16S ribosomal RNA". It matches the Rfam family "Bacterial small subunit ribosomal RNA", at positions 28 to 507 of the family's 1533-position model. The record is from RNAcentral.
GACGAACGCUGGCGGCGUGCCUAAUACAUGCAAGUUGAGCGCUGAAGGUUGGUACUUGUACCGACUGGAUGAGCCGCGAACGGGUGAGUAACGCGUGGGGAAUCUGCCUUUGAGCGGGGGACAACAUGUGGAAACGAAUGCUAAUACCGCAUAAAAACUUUAAACACAAGUUUUAAGUGUGAAAGAUGCAAUUGCAUCACUCAAAGAUGAUCCCGCGUUGUAUUAGCUUGUUGGUGAGGUAAAGGCUCACCAAGGCGAGGAUACAUAGCCGCACUGAGAGGGUGAUUGGCCGCCUUGGGACUGUGACACGGCACAUACGCCCACGGGAGGCAGCAGUAGGGAAACUUGGGCCAGGGAUGAAAGUCAUACCGCGAAACGCCGCGUGAGGGUAGAAGGGUGUCGGAUCGUAAAUCUCUGUUUGUAGGGAAGAACGCUCGUUAGCGUGGAAAGCACAGCAAGUGACGGUAACUACUCAGAAAGCGACGGCUAACUACGUG